This is a long non-coding RNA of Alosa sapidissima (American shad), 106 nucleotides long. RefSeq lists it as uncharacterized. The transcript has 3 exons. NCBI's taxonomy places the organism in Eukaryota, Metazoa, Chordata, Actinopteri, Clupeiformes, Clupeidae. The record is from RefSeq and is a predicted model, not a curated record.
UUCAGGGCUCGAAAUUAACUUUUUUUCUCAGUGUCCCGCAGCUGUCCCGAAUUCUACUUGCACUGUCCCAGACUUAAUCACCAGCAGAGUUCCGGUGUGAUAUUGA